AAGUAAGAAGCAAAUUUAAUUGUAAUCAGUUUCGACCUGAUAGUAAGAUAUAAUAAUAUCCUUACAAC
Molecule: transfer RNA, 68 nt
Filed under: Popa spurca spurca
Lineage: Eukaryota; Metazoa; Arthropoda; Insecta; Mantodea; Mantidae
Description: tRNA-Arg
Source: RNAcentral